AUUGAACGCUGGCGGCAGGCCUAACACAUGCAAGUCGAGCGGAUGAAGGGAGCUUGCUCCUGGAUUCAGCGGCGGACGGGUGAGUAAUGCCUAGGAAUCUGCCUGGUAGUGGGGGAUAACGUCCGGAAACGGGCGCUAAUACCGCAUACGUCCUGAGGGAGAAAGUGGGGGAUCUUCGGACCUCACGCUAUCAGAUGAGCCUAGGUCGGAUUAGCUAGUUGGUGGGGUAAAGGCCUACCAAGGCGACGAUCAGUAACUGGUCUGAGAGGAUGAUCAGUCACACUGGAACUGAGACACGGUCCAGACUCCUACGGGAGGCAGCAGUGGGGUAUAUUGGACAAUGGGCGAAAGCCUGAUCCAGCCAUGCCGCGUGUGUGAAGAAGGUCUUCGGAUUGUAAAGCACUUUAAGUUGGGAGGAAGGGCAGUAAGUUAAUACCUUGCUGUUUUGACGUUACCAACAGAAUAAGCACCGGCUAACUUCGUG
This 484-nucleotide ribosomal RNA is filed under the name uncultured bacterium. RNAcentral's name for it is "partial 16S ribosomal RNA". It matches the Rfam family "Bacterial small subunit ribosomal RNA", at positions 30 to 507 of the family's 1533-position model. The record is from RNAcentral.